Molecule: unclassified non-coding RNA, 347 nt
Filed under: soil metagenome
Description: partial contains 5.8S ribosomal RNA, internal transcribed spacer 2, and large subunit ribosomal RNA
Rfam family: 5.8S ribosomal RNA (bases 1-120)
Source: RNAcentral
GAUGAAGAACGCAGUGAAAUGCGAUAAUUAAUGUGAAUUGCAGAAUUCAGUGAAUCAUCGAGUCUUUGAACGCACAUUGCGCCCCCUGGUAUUCCGGGGGGGAUGCCUGUCCGAGCGUCAUUGCUGCCCUCAAGCACGGCUUGUGUGUUGGGCUUCCGUCCCUGGCAACGGGGACGGGCCCAAAAGGCAGUGGCGGCACCAUGUCUGGUCCUCGAGCGUAUGGGGCUUUGUCACCCGCUCCCGUAGGUCCAGCUGGCAGCUAGCCUCGCAACCAAUCUUUUUAACCAGGUUGACCUCGGAUCAGGUAGGGAUACCCGCUGAACUUAAGCAUAUCAAUAAGCGGAGGA